Molecule: ribosomal RNA, 877 nt
Filed under: marine metagenome
Description: bacterial SSU rRNA
Rfam family: Bacterial small subunit ribosomal RNA
Source: RNAcentral
AUGACUAGAGUACGAAAGAGGGAAGUAGAAUUCACAGUGUAGCGGUGGAAUGCGUAGAUAUUGUGAAGAAUACCAAUGGCGAAGGCAGCUUCCUGGUUCUGUACUGACACUGAGGUGCGAAAGCGUGGGUAGCGAACAGGAUUAGAUACCCUGGUAGUCCACGCCGUAAACGAUGACAACUAGCUGUUGGGAGACAAGAUCUCUCAGUGGCGCAGCUAACGCUUUAAGUUGUCCGCCUGGGGAGUACGGCCGCAAGGUUAAAACUCAAAUGAAUUGACGGGGACCCGCACAAGCGGUGGAGCAUGUGGUUUAAUUCGAUGCAACGCGAAAAACCUUACCUACUCUUGACAUACUUGGAAGCUCUUGUAAUGAGAGUGUGCUUUUAGAGCCAAGAUACAGGUGCUGCAUGGCUGUCGUCAGCUCGUGUCGUGAGAUGUUGGGUUAAGUCCCAUAACGAGCGCAACCCUUACCCUUAUUUGCCAGCGGUUCGGCCGGGAACUAUAAGGGGACUGCCGGUGACAAACCGGAGGAAGGUGAGGACGACGUCAAGUCAUCAUGGCCCUUACGAGUAGGGCUACACACGUGCUACAAUGGGGAAUACAGACGGACGCUAAAGCGUGAGCUGGUGCCAAUCCUAAAAAAUUUCUCGUAGUCCGGAUUGCAGUCUGCAACUCGACUGCAUGAAGUCGGAAUCGCUAGUAAUCGCGAAUCAGCAUGUCGCGGUGAAUACGUUCUCGGGUCUUGUACACACCGCCCGUCACACCAUGGAAGUGUGUUGCACCAGAAGUAGGUAGUCUAACCUUCGGGAAGGCGCUUACCACGGUGUGAUCCAUGACUGGGGGUGAAGUCGUAACAAGGUAGCCGUAGGGGAACCUGU